GAUGAAGACAUAGAUAUAGGUAGAGUAGAUUCACAGGUUAUGAUGAAGACAUAGAUAUAGGUAGAGUAGAUUCACAGGUUAUGAUGAAGACAUAGAUAUAGGUAGAGUAGAUUCACAGGUUAUGAUGAAGACAUAGAUAUAGGUAGAGUAGAUUCACAGGUUAUGAUGAAGACAGAGGGGGUAGAGUAGA
Oncorhynchus tshawytscha (Chinook salmon) is the source of this 190-nucleotide long non-coding RNA. RefSeq lists it as uncharacterized. The record is from RefSeq and is a predicted model, not a curated record. The transcript has 3 exons. Lineage: Eukaryota; Metazoa; Chordata; Actinopteri; Salmoniformes; Salmonidae.